GCCAUGGAGAGUUUGAUUCUGGCUCAGGAUGAACGCUGGCAACAUGCUUAACACAUGCAAGUCGAACGGAGUUUUUUUUUUAGCUUGCUAAAAAAAAAGCUUAGUGGCGAACGGGUGAGUAACACGUGGAAAUCUACCUUAUGGUGAGGAACAACUUUUGGAAACGAAAGCUAAUACCUCAUAAGCUGAGAAGUAAAAGUCUUUUUAUUGAGAGAUGCCGUAAGAGGAGUCUGCGCCUGAUUAGCUUGUUGGUAAGGUAAAGGCUUACCAAGGCGACGAUCAGUAGCUGGUCUGAGAGGAUGAACAGCCACAUUGGGACUGAGAACGGCUCAAACUCCUACGGGAGGCAGCAGUGAGGAAUUUUCCGCAAUGGGCGAAAGCCUGACGGAGCAAUGUUGCGUGAAGGAUGACGGGUUAUGGCCUGUAAACUUCUUUUGCUAGAGAAGAAUAAAUGACGGUAUCUAGCGAAUAAGCGUCGGCUAACUUCGUGCCAGCAGCCGCGGUAAUACGAGGGACGCAAGUGUUAUCCAGAAUGAUUGGGCGUAAAGCGUCUGUAGGUGAUUUCAAAAGUCUUCUGUUCAAUCACACGGCUCAACCGUGUGCCCGCAGUUGAAACUCUGAAAUUCGAGUAGAACAGAGGCGAGGGGAAUUCCCAGUGGAGCGGUGAAAUGCGUAGAUAUUGGGAAGAACACCGAGAGCGAAAGCACCUCGCUGGGUUCAUACUGACACUGAGAGACGAAAGCUAAAGGAGUGAAUAGGAUUAGAUACCCUAGUAAUUUUAGCCGUCAACGAUGAAAACUAGGUGUUGGGCUAUACAUAUGCUCAGUGCCGUAGCUAACGCGUUAAGUUUUCCGCCUGGGGAGUACGCUCGCAAGGGUGAAACUCAAAGAAAUUGGCGGGGACCUGCACAAGCGGAGGAGUAUGCUGUUUAAUUCGAUGCAACACGAAGAACCUUACCGAGGCUUGACAUGUCAUGAAUUUGUUCGAAAGAAUAAAGUGCUUUAGGGAACAUGAACACAGGUGGUGCAUGGCUGUCGUCAGCUCGUGCCGUGAGGUGUUGGGUUAAGUCCCGCAACGAGCGCAACCCUUAUCUUUAGUUAAAAACUCUAGAGAGACUGCCAGUGAUAAAUUGGAGGAAGGUGAGGAUGAAGUCAAGUCAGCAUGCCCCUUAUGUCUCGGGCUACAAGCGUACUACAAUGGAUGAGACAAAGAGAAGCAAACCUGCGAAGGGGAGCAAACCUCAAAAACUCAUUCUCAGUUCGGAUUGCAAACUGCAACUCGUUUGCAUGAAGGUGGAUUCGCUAGUAAUCGCUGGUCAGCUAUACAGCGGUGAAUACGUUCUCAGGUCUUGUACACACCGCCCGUCACACUAUGGAAGUUGACCAUACCCAAAGCCAUUACCUUAACCUUUGGAGAGGGAUGUCUAAGGUAGGGUGAGUAACUGGAGUGAAGUCGUAACAAGGUAGCAGUACUGGAAGGUGCGGCUGGAUUACCUCCUUU
This 1500-nucleotide ribosomal RNA is filed under the name Microrhizoidea pickettheapsiorum. RNAcentral describes it as "SSU rRNA". It matches the Rfam family "Bacterial small subunit ribosomal RNA". The record is from RNAcentral. Lineage: Eukaryota; Viridiplantae; Chlorophyta; Mamiellophyceae; Dolichomastigales.